AGUCCCGCAACGAGCGCAACCCUUUUCCUUAUUUGCCAGCGAGUAAUGUCGGGAACUUUAAGGAUACUGCCAGUGACAAACUGGAGGAAGGCGGGGACGACGUCAAGUCAUCAUGGCCCUUACGACCAGGGCUACACACGUGCUACAAUGGCAGGUACAAAGAGCAGCCACUUAGUGAUAAGGAGCGAAUCUCAAAAAGCCUGUCUCAGUUCGGAUUGAAGUCUGCAACUCGACUUCAUGAAGGUGGAAUCGCUAGUAAU
Molecule: ribosomal RNA, 260 nt
Filed under: Chloropicon mariensis
Lineage: Eukaryota; Viridiplantae; Chlorophyta; Chloropicophyceae; Chloropicales; Chloropicaceae
Description: partial Bacterial small subunit ribosomal RNA
Rfam family: Bacterial small subunit ribosomal RNA
Source: RNAcentral